Molecule: ribosomal RNA, 253 nt
Filed under: uncultured bacterium
Lineage: Bacteria
Description: partial 16S ribosomal RNA
Rfam family: Bacterial small subunit ribosomal RNA
Source: RNAcentral
UACGUAGGGCGCAAGCGUUGUCCGGAAUUAUUGGGCGUAAAGAGCUCGUAGGCGGCUUGUCACGUCGGGUGUGAAAGCCCGGGGCUUAACCCCGGGUCUGCAUUCGAUACGGGCUAGCUAGAGUGUGGUAGGGGAGAUCGGAAUUCUUGGUGUAGCGGUGAAAUGCGUAGAUAUCAAGAGGAACACCUGAGGUGAAGACGGGUUGCUGGGCUGACACUGACGCUGAGGUGCGAAAGCGUGGGGAGCAAACAGG